UAUUGGUACACUGUGAUGAGUAAAAAA
This 27-nucleotide small RNA is filed under the name Bombyx mori (domestic silkworm). RNAcentral's name for it is "ovarian small RNA-24258". The record is from RNAcentral. Lineage: Eukaryota; Metazoa; Arthropoda; Insecta; Lepidoptera; Bombycidae.